This is a long non-coding RNA of Hylaeus volcanicus, 321 nucleotides long. RefSeq lists it as uncharacterized. The transcript is spliced from 2 exons. The record is from RefSeq and is a predicted model, not a curated record. Lineage: Eukaryota; Metazoa; Arthropoda; Insecta; Hymenoptera; Colletidae.
AAUUUUUCCGGGACCUCCCCCGAAGAAUGGGUUCCCAAGACCUAUUGGCUUGCUGGUAGUUGUUGCGAACGAGCCACCUGGACGAUUGGAGAAAUUUCAGAUCUAAAUUCUAGAUGAAGGGUAUGCUCAACUUGGGUUAACUGAGCGUCUUUCUAUAAUUACCGCUGGUAGGAGAAGACACUUUUCCAGUCAAAAACGGAUUCCAUUCGUACGUUCCAGUCCCUCCGGGAAUUUUAUUCGCGGUAUCAGGUUUGCCAUAGGAUGUUGGACCGACACCAGGUGGACAACUACCGUAAGUGCAACCAGGUCCACUACUUCCAG